AACGAACGCUGGCGGCAGGCUUAACACAUGCAAGUCGAACGCAUCGCAAGAUGAGUGGCAGACGGGUGAGUAACGCGUGGGAACAUACCCUUUUCUACGGAAUAGCUCUGGGAAACUGGAAUUAAUACCGUAUACGCCCUACGGGGGAAAGAUUUAUCGGGGAAGGAUUGGCCCGCGUUGGAUUAGCUAGUUGGUGGGGUAAAGGCCUACCAAGGCGACGAUCCAUAGCUGGUCUGAGAGGAUGAUCAGCCACAUUGGGACUGAGAAACGGCCCAAACUCCUACGGGAGGCAUGAGUGGGGAAUAUUGGACAAUGGGCGCAAGCCUGAUCCAGCCAUGCCUCGUGAGUGAUGAAGGCCUUAGGGUUGUAAAGCUCUUUCACCGAUGAAGAUAAUGACGGUAGUCGGAGAAGAAGCCCCGGCUAACUUCGUGCCAGCCGCCGCGGUAA
RNAcentral lists this ribosomal RNA (447 nucleotides) under uncultured bacterium. RNAcentral's name for it is "partial 16S ribosomal RNA". It matches the Rfam family "Bacterial small subunit ribosomal RNA", at positions 29 to 523 of the family's 1533-position model. The record is from RNAcentral.